CAGCAGGUGGAGGAACAAAUUGUGGUACACCCGUCUUCUUUUGAUGACCCAAUUGAUUUCACAUCACCUUCUGUACUUUCUCCAGUUCCCCAAGUAUCUUCUGCCAUUGAGGCCAGAUCUGCCCAUCUAUACACUAUCAGGAGAAACUGGAGGCUUCUAUUUUUCAUGUUCACCCUGUUGAGAGAACCCACAGUCAGCUAAGUGAGGCCAGUCCUGGAUCUCUGUGGGCCUCAAUCUCCUCACCUGAAACCUGGUGCAGGCAGGACCACCCCUUCGCUCCGUUGUCAAGGUCCAGAUGUCCCUGGUGUCCAACAGGGCUUGACUACAGCAGGCACUUAAUAUGUGCUAACUCCGUGCAUCCCCCCUCCUUUUUCCUAAGUGGAUUAUGCAUCUGCUCCUCAGGACUGAUCUUCAACCUGUCAGCUACUCCCCAGCAUCAUCCAAACUGCUCUGAAAACCACCUUUCCAAAAUGCAGAGCCAGCAGUGUCACUGCCCCACUCAAAAUGCUCUCAACAGCUCCCCACUGCCU
Molecule: unclassified non-coding RNA, 530 nt
Filed under: Homo sapiens (human)
Lineage: Eukaryota; Metazoa; Chordata; Mammalia; Primates; Hominidae
Description: partial NAMA
Source: RNAcentral